UCAGUAACGGCGAGUGAAGCGGCAACAGCUCAAAUUUGAAAUCUGGCCUCUUUGGGGUCCGAGUUGUAAUUUGUAGAGGAUGUUUCGGGUACCGCCUCGGUUUAAAUUUCUUGGAACAGAAUGUCAGAGAGGGUGAGAAUCCCGUCUUGGACCGGCGGUAGGGCCCAUGUGAAACUCCUUCGACGAGUCGAGUUGUUUGGGAAUGCAGCUCAAAAUGGGUGGUAAAUUUCAUCUAAAGCUAAAUAUUGGCCAGAGACCGAUAGCGCACAAGUAGAGUGAUCGAAAGAUGAAAAGCACUUUGAAAAGAGAGUUAAACAGUAUGUGAAAUUGUUGAAAGGGAAGCGCUUACAACCAGACUUGAGCGCGGCGGUUCCCCCUUCCUUUUGGUUGGGUUACUCCGCCGUGUCCAGGCCAACAUCGGUUCUGGGGGUCGGUCAAAGGCUUUGGGAAUGUACCUACCCUUCGGGCGUAGACUUAUAGCCCAGAGUGUCAUGCGGCCUCCCGGGACCGAGGAACGCGCUUCGGCUCGGAUGUUGGCGUAAUGGUUGUCAGCGACCCGUCUUGAAACACGGACCAAGGAGUCUAACAUCUAUGCGAGUGUUUGGGUGUCAAACCCGGAACGCGAAAUGAAAGUGAACGGAGGUAGGAAGCCGUGAGGCUGCACUAUCGACCGAUCCUGAUGUCUUCGGAUGGAUUUGAGUAAGAGCAUAGCUGUUGGGACCCGAAAGAUGGUGAACUAUGCCUGAAUAGGGUGAAGCCAGAGGAAACUCUGGUGGAGGCUCGCAGCGGUUCUGACGUGCAAAUCGAUCGUCAAAUUUAGGUAUAGGGGCGAAAGACUAAUCGAACCAUCUGGUAGCUGGUUCCUGCCGAAGUUCCCUCAGGAUAGCAGUAACGUUUUCAGUUUAUGAGGU
Molecule: ribosomal RNA, 911 nt
Filed under: Thysanorea clavata
Lineage: Eukaryota; Fungi; Ascomycota; Eurotiomycetes; Chaetothyriales; Herpotrichiellaceae
Description: Minimelanolocus clavatus partial large subunit ribosomal RNA
Rfam family: Eukaryotic large subunit ribosomal RNA
Source: RNAcentral